AUGCUCGUCUACCAAGUACUUGAAGAAAAAAUCCACAUCUCGCUCUCGCCUCGCCAUCAUGUGCAUGAUCACCGUUUUAGCAUCAGCGGCACUGAUUGUCUCCUGCUUAUUAGCAUGGCAGAAAUUAUAAAUGUCCCUCUUCAUGCAUCCAACCUUAUCAAAUCCACCAUAUUGAAAGCACAAAAUAUCCAUAAUAUGGUAUUUGCGGAUCCCACUUUUUCCAUGUCCGCAAUGUCCGCUUUCUGCUCAUCGCUAAUUCGUCUGUGCGAACACAGCAGACAAGAAAGAUCCCGUGGGGCUAGAGGAUGGCUGUGCUCAUCGAUGAAAUCCUUAACAAACCACCGACCGGUUUCCUCCUGUCUCGUAAUGACCAAUUUAGCAUUACACCCAACACGAGUUAAACUUCGUGGCCUCCUCUUUCUAUCUUCCAUCUUUCUUUUCAUGUGCUUCUCUUCGCGAAACCCUUGA
Molecule: ribosomal RNA, 468 nt
Filed under: Triticum aestivum (bread wheat)
Lineage: Eukaryota; Viridiplantae; Streptophyta; Magnoliopsida; Poales; Poaceae
Description: partial small subunit ribosomal RNA
Source: RNAcentral